This 24-nucleotide small RNA is filed under the name Arabidopsis thaliana (thale cress). Its description in RNAcentral is "ATSL111520". Lineage: Eukaryota; Viridiplantae; Streptophyta; Magnoliopsida; Brassicales; Brassicaceae. The record is from RNAcentral.
GUCGACACAUGAGAUAUUACUUAU